UUGCCUUGUCCGAGCGUUAGCUAACAGCCACCCGCUUAAUUUGCCAUUCCUUGAAGAAUUCUAUGUCCCAUGCUGCUCAGCUAAAAGCAAAUGGUACAUUAUCCCCACUGGCCAUGUUGCAACCUGAAGGGAAAAGUGGAUUUACCAGCUUGCGGCUGCAUGAACUACGGUGUUUGACAGGGUCAAAAUAGCCGCCUUCUGGUUUGGAUGAUAAUUGCUGGCGGUAUAAUAGAUUCUUUGAUAUCCGGGGAAUCUGCACCAAAUACGGAGAAAAAUGAUUGGAGACAAGGAGUUCCUCAGGCCCUUGUCAGGCUUAACAAAUUUUAGCACUA
Molecule: small RNA, 332 nt
Filed under: Histoplasma capsulatum
Lineage: Eukaryota; Fungi; Ascomycota; Eurotiomycetes; Onygenales; Ajellomycetaceae
Also listed under: 1 other name
Description: hypothetical RNA
Source: RNAcentral